Molecule: ribosomal RNA, 255 nt
Filed under: uncultured bacterium
Lineage: Bacteria
Description: partial 16S ribosomal RNA
Rfam family: Bacterial small subunit ribosomal RNA
Source: RNAcentral
UACGUAGGGGGGCAAGCGUUGUCCGGAUUUAUUGGGCGUAAAGAGCGUGUAGGCGGCCAGGUAGGUCUGCUGUGAAAACUCGAGGCUUAACCUCGAGCUGUCGGCGGAAACCAUCUGGCUAGAGUCCGGAAGAGGAGAAUGGAAUUCCCGGUGUAGCGGUGAAAUGCGCAGAUAUCAGGAAGAACACCCGUGGCGAAGGCGGUUCUCUGGGACGGUACUGACGCUGGAGACGCGAAAGCGUGGGGAGCGAACAGG